GAUGAACGCUGGCGGCGUGCCUAAUACAUGCAAGUCGAGCGAACAGACGAGGAGCUUGCUCCUUCGACGUUAGCGGCGGACGGGUGAGUAACACGUAGGUCACCUACCUAUAAGACUGGGAUAACUUCGGGAAACCGGAGCUAAUACCGGAUAAUAUUUCGAACCGCAUGGUUCGAUAGUGAAAGAUGGCUUUGCUAUCACUUAUAGAUGGACCUGCGCCGUAUUAGCUAGUUGGUAAGGUAACGGCUUACCAAGGCAACGAUACGUAGCCGACCUGAGAGGGUGAUCGGCCACACGGGAACUGAGACACGGUCCAGAGUCCUACGGGAGGCAGCAGUAGGGAAUCUUCCGCAAUGGGCGAAAGCCUGACGGAGCAACGCGGCGUGAGUGAUGAAGGUCUUCGGAUCGUAAAACUCGGUUAUUAGGGAAGAACAAACGUGUAAGUAACUGUGCACGUCUUGACGGUACCUAAUCAGAAAGCCACGGCUAACUACGUG
This 497-nucleotide ribosomal RNA is filed under the name uncultured bacterium. Its description in RNAcentral is "partial 16S ribosomal RNA". It matches the Rfam family "Bacterial small subunit ribosomal RNA", at positions 28 to 507 of the family's 1533-position model. The record is from RNAcentral.